This 1321-nucleotide long non-coding RNA is filed under the name Felis catus (domestic cat). RNAcentral's name for it is "lncRNA (ENSFCAG00000050183.1)". The record is from RNAcentral. Lineage: Eukaryota; Metazoa; Chordata; Mammalia; Carnivora; Felidae.
CCGGUUCAACACGACUAGCUUAUCUCCCCCUAGUUUUUGUGUCCUUCCUGCAUGUUCUCUAAGAAGGUCCUUGUUUCAUCCACGUAUUGGUUCUUGAUUUUCAUUAGUGACAUAAUUUGAUUUAUUUCAAAGCUGCAUCUAAAUGCAUAAUUAACCGUCACUACCUUUGUUAAAAAUGACCCACACCAUUUUUUGGUUUUAUGCGAAAAAUGUGAUAGUUAACCCACUUUGUGAAAAUAGACAUAAUCGUUGACUAAAUGAAAGAAUGCUAUUUAAUAAGAUGGUCUAUAUCUUCCCAUUUACUAACCUUGGAGCAUCAUCCAUGACAUUUUUUCCUCCAAUGAAUGAAGAGCUUUUCGAAUUCUGAUUGCCUGCUCUUAAUUUCUGGAAGUUACUCCAGGUUUGGAGUGCUUAGGGUCUGUAUUUGAGAAGUGUAUUUCUUUUUCACUUGUCAGUGCUGGAGCAGGCCUUACGCAACCACUAACGGUGCCAAAAGUGUUAACAGUGUGUUCAAGAAGCACAUUAGGAGAUAGGUGAUUAGUACUUUGGUCUUUCUUGGGUGUGUGUGUGUGUGUGUGUGUGUGUGUGUGUGUGUGUGUGUGUUACGCCAUGUGCUUAUUACCCACGUUGUUGCCAGGGCACACCGAGAUUUGGUUGUGGCCAAAAGACAUUGUCUAAGUUCAUUUAGUACGUUUUGUGUACUUUUCUCCUAGUAAAGAGUUGAAGAAUGAAGAGACAACCAAAUACACAGAAAUGAAAUGACAAAUUAAACCAAACGGAAUUUCUCUUCAGACUGAAGAACUUCCAGAUACUAAGGAAGAAAGAAAUACAUCCAUCAGAGACGGGCCCUAACGUGGAGCAGAUCCAGGGGACUCCUGUCGUUCAUGACCUCUUCUCUGAUUCUCCCUCGUGGAGAGAGCUUGGCCACAGUGACUACAGGCCCAGGAGUUUGGAGCCGGUGAAGCCGGAAUAUCAAUCAUCAGGAUUCUAAUGAAGAAUCCUUGGCUGAAAAAGCCACCGGACUCCUUUCCAGGGCCGGUGGCAUUGCGUUCUGGGAGACCAAGGCUGAGCUAAGGCAAUCGAAUGCUGACCCCAGAAAGCUAAAUCACACCUCGCCUUUCAAGAUACUCUAAAACCAUCAACGUGAGUGCUUAAAAAAAAACCCAACUCCCCCCAUCUCAACGUUAAAAAUUUUAAUAGCCUGUCAAAAAGACAGUUUUGUAACUAUAGGAGUAGGAGGCAGGAAAUAGAAAUCUUUUUCUUUUGUUGUAGUUUGAGGCUUAAGUAUUGAAAGGAAACAGGCACUUGUAGCUUUUCACAG